GUGAAAAUUAAAAACUUAUAAUUAAUAAAAAAAAUUUUAAUUAAAAAAAUAAUAUAAUGGGGGUUAUAGUAUUUUUAUAAAAUAAAUUAAAAUAUUUAUAGUAAAUUAGUAUUGUAAAAGAAUUUUGAAAUAAUUUUAAAAUAAAAAUUAUUAGAAAGUAAAUUUUAUUUAUUGUAUCUUGUGUAUCAGAGUUUAUUAAUAAAUUUUUAUUUAUAUUUAAAUUUCUCGAAUUUAAAAGAGAUAAUUAAUUAUAAGAGUUAUUGUAGAAUAAAUAUUUUUAAUAAUUAAUUUGAAAUGAAAUGUUAAUCGUUUUUAAAUAUAUCUAGUUUUUUUAGAAAAAAAUUUAAUUUUUAAUUUAGUUAAUAAAUUUGAAUUUUUAUUAAUAAAAAUAAUUUUUAAUUAAAUUUAAUAAUUUAAGGGAUAAGCUUUAGAUUAAAUAUUUAUAAUUAAUAAAAUAAAAUAAAAUAGAAAAUUGUAUAAUUUACAUUGUUAAUAAAUUAUAAUUUAAUUAUAAAUAAUUUCAUUUAAAUAAAAAUUUAAUUUAAUUUAAUUUUUUAUAAAAAAUAAUUUUUUAAUUAAAUAAGUUUUAUUAUAAUGAUAAAAUUAGUAUAAUAAAUAUUAAAUAAUAUAAUAAAAAAUAUUUGUUAAUUAUUUAAAAGGAAUUCGGCAAAUUUUUAUAUUCACUUGUUUAUCAAAAACAUGUCUUUUUGAAAAUAAUUUAAAGUCUAAUCUGCCCACUGAAUUAUUUGAAGGGCUGCAGUAUUUUGACUGUACAAAGGUAGCAUAAUCAUUAGUCUCUUAAUUGGUGACUUGUAUGAAAGAUUGGAUGAGAUAUAUACUGUCUCUUAAAUAUUUAUUGAAUUUAAUUUUUUAAUUAAAAAGUUAAAAUAUUAUAAAAAGACGAGAAGACCCUAUAGAGUUUUAUAAUUAAUGAAUUUUUAUUUAUUUAUAAAUUAAUAAAGUAAUAAUUUAUAAAUUAUUUUAUUGGGGUGAUGAAAAAAUUAAAUAAACUUUUUUUAUAGUUUAACAUAGAUAAGUGGUUUAAUGAUCCAAUAUUAUUGAUUAUAAGAUUAAAUUACCUUAGGGAUAACAGCGUAAUUUUUUUUUUUAGCUCAAAUAAGAAAAAAAGUUUGCGACCUCGAUGUUGGAUUAAGAUAAAAUUUAAAUGCAAAAGUUUAAAGUUUUUGAUCUGUUCGAUCAUUAAAAUCUUACAUGAUCUGAGUUCAAACCGGUGUAAGCCAGGUUGGUUUCUAUCUUUUAUUAAAUGAAAUAUUUUAGUACGAAAGGAUCAAAUAUUUUAAUUAAAUUAAUUUGAUUGAAUUUUAUUAAUAUAAUUUAUUUUUAAAAUUAAAAUUAAAUAAAUUAUU
Molecule: ribosomal RNA, 1367 nt
Filed under: Prismosticta regalis
Lineage: Eukaryota; Metazoa; Arthropoda; Insecta; Lepidoptera; Endromidae
Description: 16S ribosomal RNA
Source: RNAcentral